AAUGAACGCUGGCGGCAUGCCUAACACAUGCAAGUCGAACGAAGGCUUCGGCCUUAGUGGCGCACGGGUGCGUAACGCGUGGGAAUCUGCCCUUGGGUUCGGAAUAACUCAGAGAAAUUUGAGCUAAUACCGGAUGAUGACGUAAGUCCAAAGAUUUAUCGCCCAAGGAUGAGCCCGCGUAGGAUUAGCUAGUUGGUGAGGUAAAGGCUCACCAAGGCGACGAUCCUUAGCUGGUCUGAGAGGAUGAUCAGCCACACUGGGACUGAGACACGGCCCAGACUCCUACGGGAGGCAGCAGUGGGGAAUAUUGGACAAUGGGCGAAAGCCUGAUCCAGCAAUGCCGCGUGAGUGAUGAAGGCCUUAGGGUUGUAAAGCUCUUUUACCCGGGAUGAUAAUGACAGUACCGGGAGAAUAAGCUCCGGCUAACUUCGUGCCAGCCGCCGCCGUAA
RNAcentral lists this ribosomal RNA (449 nucleotides) under uncultured bacterium. RNAcentral describes it as "partial 16S ribosomal RNA". It matches the Rfam family "Bacterial small subunit ribosomal RNA", at positions 29 to 523 of the family's 1533-position model. The record is from RNAcentral.